UGGGGAAUUUUCCGCAAUGGGUGCAAGCCUGACAGAGCAAUACCGCGUGAGGGAUGACUGCCUACGGGUUGUAAACCUCUUUUCUCAAGGAGGAAGAUCUGACGUUACUUGAGGAAUAAGCAUCGGCUAACCCUGUGCCAGCAGCCGCGGUAAUACAGGGGAUGCAAGUGUUAUCCGGAAUUAUUGGGCGUAAAGCGUCUGCAGGUUGAUAUGUAAGUCUUUUGUUAAAACUUUGAGCUCAACUCAAAUUCCGCAAAAGAAACUAUUUAUCUUGAGUAUGGUAGAGGUAAAGGGAAUUUCCAGUGGAGCGGUGAAAUGCGUAGAUAUUGGAAAGAACACCAACAGCGAAGGCACUUUACUGGGCCAUUACUGACACUCAGAGACGAAAGCUAGGGUAGCAAAAGGGAUUAGAUACCCCUGUAGUCA
Molecule: ribosomal RNA, 426 nt
Filed under: uncultured cyanobacterium
Lineage: Bacteria; Bacillati; Cyanobacteriota
Description: bacterial SSU rRNA
Rfam family: Bacterial small subunit ribosomal RNA
Source: RNAcentral